UUCUGCAAAGACUUGCGCUGGUAUGGUUAGAGUGAUCGCUUUUACAGACAUCAAGCCUUUCCCCAUCCCGAGUGCAAGCAAGGCUGAAAAUGGAGAGCUAUUAAAAGCCUUGUUCCAAAUUCAGGUGGUGAAUUGGAUGCCGGCUGCAGGAAAGGAAGGGUGUUUAAGAUAUAUAAAAGAAUGGAAGUAAAGGCAGGAGCUGAAGCAAUUUCCAAGAAGAGGCAAGAGGAGGAUGAUUUACUGUGAGCUGUAAUGAGACAUAGACUCCUGGUUUCAUAAAUUCAGGGCAGCACCUGAGAACUUAUACAACGAAGGCACCAUCUGUCAGAGCAUCAUCUCUGUGUGCAGGUUGUAGAUUUGUCUUCAAACCACUUCACAGAUGUCCACUGUGUGUCCCACCUGAAUGUUAAAGUAAAGUAACCAAGAGACUUGGCAGCCCACGUCAGGGCUGCCAGCUCCAGCAAUGAACCAAAUUUAGAAGCUGUUAUAUGAAGAAUCUACAGGACAUUAAAUUUAAAUGGUCUCCUUGCAUAAAUGCCUCCUAAACUAGCACAGAAGAAAACCCAGAGCCCAUCACAAAAACGCUGCCGAUAGCCAAAUAAACUCCCUUAUUACACAAUAUCAGUGCGAACCAAGGAGUACCUUCCCGGCAGAGGGGCUCAGCAGCAGUUGCAGCUGGGAAGCUGAUGAUUCCUCUGUAAUAUAUUCAGUGCUAGUUAUUGGCAAGAAGCAAAAGAUGUGAAGUAGGAGUUUAAAGAAGAAAAACAUCAUGAAGAUAUAAGGUCUUUCCUGACUUUUCCACAUCAUGCCAUUUUAUUCAAACAGACCAUGGUCAGACUUCUAAAAAGCAAAUUGCUAGCUGACAGCUGGAUCCACCUCUAUGAUAAAUUAUUGGACUCAAGAGCAAGCUGGAAAUCCACUGCAGGAUCAUCAGACACAGUGGAGUUGGUUUGUAUUUACACUCUUGUAACCAAGCUGGGGAUUUGGUUCCCAGUAUUAAGGAGUCUUACAUAAGCAAGAUUUGCUUUUCAUUAAGUUCCAUGUUGACAGACAUAAAUCUUCACUAUGAGUCCUUUCUAAUUUAUAUUUUGUUAGGAUAGGCUAGUAUGCACAAUUUUUUUCCUAAUUCGUCUGCUGCAUUGUAAGGCUUUUAUUGUGCUUUAAAGUUAUUCCAGUAUUUUCAUCCGUGUUGUCAGGCUUCAUCCCCCACUGGUCUUUUUCCUUAGAAAAUGUAGGUGACAAAUAUCCACAAACUCUGGUAAGAUCUGUGCCAAAAGGAAAGUUCAAAACAAUAAAGCUCUAGCCAGAAAAGCUAUAUGGUAGGUGAACGGUUUGUUCACAAUUCCUAUGCCUCUUUUCCAUCUCAGACCUACUCAAACCUUCCUGUUAGUUUUGUGUUUUUUUGGUGGUGGUAAGUUUUAUCUCCCCCCCCCCCAUUCUGUUCAUAUUGCUGGAUGAAACCAAAAGGGAGAAGCGUACAGCAGCACCCUCUUUAUUCACCCAUAAGAAGGGAUAAAAGCCUUCUUUUCUCAUGGAAAAAUUAUAGAUGCCUUAAAAUCUACUAAUGUGAUAAAUUUCAUGGCUAGUUUAGGUGCUUUCUGAUAGCAUUGGCUGGGUGUGAACAUAGGGGAAAGAGUAAGUGAGCAAUUUUCCACUGCCAGAAGAGGCUGGGGUUGAGCUUUCUCCACUUGAAGACUGACGUUUGUAGGAUCUGAGUGGUCAAAACAUUAUUAAAAUCAUAGUAAACAAAUAAUGUUUUGGAUCUGUAUCUGCAGCAAGGUGAGUUUGAGGACCAAGCUUAAGUUACAGUACCGGUACCUUAAUUAGUGUGGGCCAGUAUCAUCCACAGUAUAAUCAAAUUAACUGGAAAUAUGGUGGAAAUGAAUAGGGAACUGUUGCCACUUGUAACUUCUCUGUAUGUACGAGUUUUUACAACAGAAUUCUCAAAACCUUGCGGAGGAGGGGGAAGCAACCAGCAGGCAAGAAAUAAAUGUCUUCCUCUUUCAUCUAAAUUUAACUAGAAAAAUAGUCACAAUAAAAUUAGGGAUGUGCUGAACUAUCCAUGGGAGGUUCUGAUCCAAUAUUAGCCUACUUACCCCAUUACUUAUCUUCAAAUGAACACACCACCAGCAGAAAGGAUUUAGGUUACAUUUGAGUAAUCCAAAUCUUGUAGGUAGUGGGGUUUAGUGAAACUGGAGCACUUGUUACUAUAAUUUAACUACAGAAAACAGCAUUUACUAAAGUAAGAGGUCUGACUUUCAAGCACAAAAGCAAGGAGGUUUGUAGCAGUAUUGGUAAGGCUGGAGUGUCAGUCUGGAUUUUCAGCCUUAAGUCAGAAUUUCCUUCAUUUUGUGGAUUUGUCAAACAUUUAACUGUGUUUUAAUAUAAACAUUUUUUUCCUGACAACAUUCAAACCUCCGUAAUACAGCCUUUUUAAGGAAAGAAAAAAGAAAAAAAAAAAAAAGUAGUAGUAAAAUGAUGGUGUGGCUGUGGUGAGGUCACUGUCUUGUGUGCACGCCGCCAUGGUGGGAGCUGGACACCUGAGCUCCUUCCUCAUCAUCAUGUGCUGGCAAGCUGGGACCUCUCCGGAGGGGUUUCAAUUCUCUGUGCCUCAGUUUCUUGAACGAUCACCUGAAGAUCAUAUUUACAAAUCUCUGAAGAUGUCCUCAUUAAUUAGUCAGAAUAUAAUAUGUGCAAAGUGGUUUAACAUGCUUGGAUGGAGAGUGUUACAGAACAUUUCAGAGGGGAUUGUAAUUGCCAGUGACCGGAGAGAACCUCAACGCAGAGUACGUGUCAGCACAGUUCACCCCUUCGGAGCAUCUUCAAUUAAAAUUGCUCAAGGACAGGAGCACUCAGAUUCCCAUUCCUGCCAGCCUGUUAAAGAGUGAUAAAGGAAAUGGGGGACUGCAAUUCUACAAAAUGAAUUUUGGAUUGGAUGGAACACAUCUUUUUUUUUUUUUUUUUUUAACAUGUAUUGAAUAAAAUACAGUUUUCCAAAUUUUCCAAAUAGCCCAAAUUUCUCCUGGUACAAUUGCCAUUAUAAAAUUUACUAUAUCAAAGGAGAAAACAUCACCAUGUGGAACAGAAAUAUGUUAUGAAAUUCCAUUAAAUCAUAUUGUGCACUGAAAGUGCUGUGGCCUGGUUUUAAUUCUGCAAUAUUCAACAAAUACUGAACUAUAGCACAGUCUCCCAUUUAUAUCUUUAAAUGGGAGUGCAACAUUCUCAUUUGUAAGUGUUCUCUUGAAAGUGCACUGUGAGUUGCUUAGCCACUGAUUAACAGAGGUUAUUGUAAGGGUCUCCCAAUUAAUAAAAAUAAAAAUUCAGUUGUCCAGCUGUCAAACACGGAGCUGCAUUUCUUAUGGUGCAUUCAUUAGUUAAAGCACUCUCAGUUACUACUUUCUAUGUUACAUCACGCUUGCUUGCUGAGCUAGAUUAUGAAGACAAAGUUCACUCGUUGGUGGAAUAAGUUACCCUAAUUUGAAUUUGAAAUGGAUGACAUCCCAUUAUUUAGCUUAAUCUAAAUUCAGAAAAAUAUGCAAUUAAAAGAGCUACAUUACCUAUACAAUUUAAAUCCUGAACUGCCUCUAAAUAUCCAGCUCUGAAAGGUAAUAUUUGGACCAUGUAUGAGAAUAUAAGAAAUAAUCACCAAGGGCGGACAGACAGUAAUUGUUACAGAAGAUAUUAAAAAGAAUGAGAAAGUCUUUUAUUAGAUUUCCACCAGGAUAAACAAGCACUGAGAAUGAGUAGGUCUAAUAAGAAGUGAUGUAGGUGUUGAAAUACACCACCAAUUCACUGAAUGCAAAAACUAUAUUUAUUUAUCGCUGUUUAUCAAAAAAAAAAAGCUCAAGAUGGAAAGUUCCAAAGCAUUGCCAAGGUAACGCUGUGCUGUGAGAUGUGGAAGCCCUGCAUGUCCUCAGGAGCCACUACUGCUCGCACCCAGGUGUGCCGGUGUUGGCAGCAACUGCAGCAGUGCCUGACCACUGGGCAAGACGACAGGUUGUGUCAUCAAUACUAUUUUGGGACGUUCUUUGCAGGUUUUUAUCCUACAUACAGACCUAGUCCUUCAGUUCAGAAUCUUAUUGCUUUUCUGAGACUCAAGAAUUAUAUUAAUUCUCCAAAGUUAACUAUCUGUGGCUAAAUUAAAUCUUUACUUUUUCAAGUUCUGAUUUGUGUACCUAAUGACAUAAUAAAGCUCUUUGUUAUCAAUAAAA
Oxyura jamaicensis (ruddy duck) is the source of this 4211-nucleotide long non-coding RNA. RefSeq lists it as uncharacterized. The transcript is spliced from 7 exons. NCBI's taxonomy places the organism in Eukaryota, Metazoa, Chordata, Aves, Anseriformes, Anatidae. The record is from RefSeq and is a predicted model, not a curated record.